GCCGGGCGCGGUGGCUCAAGCCUGUAAUCCCAGCACUUUGGGAGGCCGAGACGGGCGGAUCACGAGGUCAGGAGAUCGAGACCAUCCUGGCUAACACAGUGAAACCCCGUCUCUAUUAAGAAAUACAAAAAACUAGCCGGGCGAGGUGGCGGGCGCCUGUAGUCCCAGCUACUCGGGAGGCUGAGGCCGGAGAAUGGCGUGAACCCGGGAGGCGGAGCUUGCAGUGAGCUGAGAUCCGGACACUGCCUCCCGAGUAACUGGGACUACAGGCGCCCGCCACCUCGCCCGGCUAUUUUUUGUAUUUCUUAGUAGAGACGGGGUUUCACCGUGUUAGCCAGGAUGGUCUCGAUCUCCUGACCUCGUGAUCCGCCCAUCUCGGC
RNAcentral lists this small RNA (380 nucleotides) under Papio anubis (olive baboon). RNAcentral's name for it is "Metazoan signal recognition particle RNA (ENSPANG00000051231.1)". Lineage: Eukaryota; Metazoa; Chordata; Mammalia; Primates; Cercopithecidae. The record is from RNAcentral.